Molecule: ribosomal RNA, 449 nt
Filed under: uncultured bacterium
Lineage: Bacteria
Description: partial 16S ribosomal RNA
Rfam family: Bacterial small subunit ribosomal RNA
Source: RNAcentral
AACGGACGCUGGCGGCAUGCCUAACACAUGCAAGUCGAACGAGAUCUUCGGGUCUAGUGGCGCACGGGUGCGUAACGCGUGGGAAUCUGCCCUUUGGUUCGGAAUAACAGUUGGAAACGACUGCUAAUACCGGAUGAUGACGAAAGUCCAAAGAUUUAUCGCCAGAGGAUGAGCCCGCGUAGGACUAGCUAGUUGGUGUGGUAAAGGCGCACCAAGGCGACGAUCCUUAGCUGGUCUGAGAGGAUGAUCAGCAACACUGGGACUGAGACACGGCCCAGACUCCUACGGGAGGCAGCAGUGGGGAAUAUUGGACAAUGGGCGAAAGCCUGAUCCAGCAAUGCCGCGUGAGUGAUGAAGGCCUUAGGGUUGUAAAGCUCUUUUACCCGGGAUGAUAAUGACAGUACCGGGAGAAUAAGCUCCGGCUAACUCCGUGCCAGCCGCCGCCGUAA